GUGCACCUUGCAGCACAUACACUAAAAUUAAAAUGAUGGAAGAUCAGCAUGGCCUCUGCACAAGGAUGAAACAAACGCAAAUUUGUGAAACAUUCCAUGUUGUU
Molecule: small nuclear RNA, 104 nt
Organism: Ochotona curzoniae (black-lipped pika)
Lineage: Eukaryota; Metazoa; Chordata; Mammalia; Lagomorpha; Ochotonidae
Source: RefSeq, a predicted model, not a curated record